Non-coding RNA from Kogia breviceps (pygmy sperm whale), 72 nucleotides. The record is from the annotation of a RefSeq genome assembly. Lineage: Eukaryota; Metazoa; Chordata; Mammalia; Artiodactyla; Physeteridae.
UCCCUGGUGGUCCAGUGGUUAGGACUCCGUACUCUCACUGCCGUGGCCCGGGUUCAAUCCCUGGUCAGGGAA